Ribosomal RNA from Danio rerio (zebrafish), 117 nucleotides. The record is from Ensembl. Lineage: Eukaryota; Metazoa; Chordata; Actinopteri; Cypriniformes; Danionidae.
UGACACAGCCAUAUCACACAGCAGCCCGAAACCGGUUACUCACUGAAGGUAAGCAGGGUUGAGCCUGUUCAGUACCUGGAUGGGAGACCACAUGGGAAAACUAGGUUGCUGCUGGAA